Molecule: unclassified non-coding RNA, 388 nt
Filed under: fungal sp.
Lineage: Eukaryota; Fungi
Description: partial internal transcribed spacer region
Rfam family: Eukaryotic small subunit ribosomal RNA (bases 1-46)
Source: RNAcentral
AAGUCGUAACAAGGUAACCGUAGGUGAACCUGCGGUUGGAUCAUUAUUGAAAUUAUAAUCCAAUCUUUUUUUCUCAUAACUUCUGUUAAAAGAAGGCUAUGAGAUUGAAGGAAACAUCAUGUGAACUUGUUUAAUUGUCUCUGGUGGGUUAAAACGAUAAAGUAGUUUGAAAAAAUUACUUUACCCGGAAUGUGUGUGGCUUGGUGUUUGUGGGUAAAUUAUAUUUAUCCAUUCCCACCCCUCCACCCCCAUUUACCCACUAUUUUUUUGUAUAUCAAAACCUGUUUUGUUUAACCUGGACCGAAUUUUUAAAAUGUUUUUUUUCCUUUAAAAGAAAAUAACAAAUCUAAAAAAAAAACAACUUUUGACAACGGAUCUCUAGGCUCUC